Molecule: small nucleolar RNA, 123 nt
Organism: Myotis lucifugus (little brown bat)
Lineage: Eukaryota; Metazoa; Chordata; Mammalia; Chiroptera; Vespertilionidae
Product: small nucleolar RNA SNORA77
Source: Ensembl
GCCGACGCACUGUGCCCGGCCGCAGUCCCAGGCGGGGCUUUCCUCGUCUGCCACAGAAACAUUCCAGGGCCCUGUGACCGCCCUGACCAGUCAAGGGUGCUGCCGCUGCCCGGGGACACGGUU